CGGAUUGGACAGCGUCAUUACCAUGCAAGUCGGACGAUGAAGCCCGUAAGGGGUGGAUUAGUGGCGAACGGGUGAGUAACACGUGAGCAACCUGCCCUUGACUCUGGGAUAAGCCUGGGAAACUGGGUCUAAUACCGGAUAGGACCCCUUGCCGCAUGGUGGGGGGUGGAAAGCCUUGUGCGGUCUUGGAUGGGCUCGCGGCCUAUCAGCUUGUUGGUGGGGUGAUGGCCUACCAAGGCGACGACGGGUAGCCGGCCUGAGAGGGUGACCGGCCACACUGGGACUGAGACACGGCCCAGACUCCUACGGGAGGCAGCAGUGGGGAAUAUUGCACAAUGGGCGGAAGCCUGAUGCAGCGACGCCGCGUGGGGGAUGACGGCCUUCGGGUUGUAAACCCCUUUCGGCAGGGAACAAGCCCCUUGGGGUGAGGGUACCUGCGGAAGAAGCGCCGGCUAACUACGUGCCAGCAGCCGCGGUAAUACGUAGGGCGCGAGCGUUAUCCGGAAUUAUUGGGCGUAAAGAGCUCGUAGGCGGUUUGUCGCGUCUGCUGUGAAAGCCCGGGGCUCAAACCCCGGGUCUGCAGUGGGUACGGGCAGGCUGGAGUGCAGUAGGGGAGACUGGAAUUCCUGGUGUAGCGGUGAAAUGCGCAGAUAUCAGGAGGAACACCGAUGGCGAAGGCAGGUCUCUGGGCUGUAACUGACGCUGAGGAGCGAAAGCAUGGGGAGCGAACAGGAUUAGAUACCCUGGUAGUCCAUGCCGUAAACGUUGGGCACUAGGUGUGGGGGCCAUUCCACGGUUUCCGCGCCGCAGCUAACGCAUUAAGUGCCCCGCCUGGGGAGUACGGCCGCAAGGCUAAAACUCAAAGGAAUUGACGGGGGCCCGCACAAGCGGCGGAGCAUGCGGAUUAAUUCGAUGCAACGCGAAGAACCUUACCAAGGCUUGACAUGUGCCGGACCGUCCCAGAGAUGGGGCUUCCCUUCGGGGCCGGUUCACAGGUGGUGCAUGGUUGUCGUCAGCUCGUGUCGUGAGAUGUUGGGUUAAGUCCCGCAACGAGCGCAACCCUCGUUCCAUGUUGCCAGCACUUCGGGUGGGGACUCAUGGGAGACUGCCGGGGUCAACUCGGAGGAAGGUGGGGACGACGUCAAAUCAUCAUGCCCCUUAUGUCUUGGGCUUCACGCAUGCUACAAUGGCCGGUACAAAGGGUUGCGAUACUGUGAGGUGGAGCCAAUCCCAGAAAGCCGGUCUCAGUUCGGAUUGGGGUCUGCAACUCGACCCCAUGAAGUCGGAGUCGCUAGUAAUCGCAGAUCAGCAACGCUGCGGUGAAUACGUUCCCGGGCCUUGUACACACCGCCCGUCAAGUCACGAAAGUCGGUAACACCCGAAGCCGGUGGCACAACCCAGCGUGGAGGGAGCGGACGUAGUUGUCUUUGCCC
RNAcentral lists this ribosomal RNA (1433 nucleotides) under Sinomonas sp. MUSC120T. RNAcentral's name for it is "bacterial SSU rRNA". It matches the Rfam family "Bacterial small subunit ribosomal RNA". The record is from RNAcentral. Lineage: Bacteria; Bacillati; Actinomycetota; Actinomycetes; Micrococcales; Micrococcaceae.